Regulatory RNA element from Arthrobacter sp., 114 nucleotides. It matches the Rfam family "SAM (S-adenosyl methionine) riboswitch aptamer". From Rfam's summary of the family: SAM-IV is a mRNA element that regulates gene expression via direct sensing of S-adenosylmethionine (SAM or AdoMet). The record is from Rfam. NCBI's taxonomy places the organism in Bacteria, Bacillati, Actinomycetota, Actinomycetes, Micrococcales, Micrococcaceae.
GGUCACGAGUGCCAGCGCUAAACCCCGGUUUGCUGGCCGGCAACCCUCCUUUCGCGGCGGGGUGCCCCGGGUGACGACCUGGCCAGACCUGUUCGGUCUUGGCAAGCGCGGACU